Molecule: ribosomal RNA, 3384 nt
Filed under: Triticum aestivum (bread wheat)
Lineage: Eukaryota; Viridiplantae; Streptophyta; Magnoliopsida; Poales; Poaceae
Description: partial small subunit ribosomal RNA
Source: RNAcentral
AUGCAGCAGCAGGCAACAACUCCAACACUAGUGGCUAGUGCCAAGAUGCAGCGCCUUCAUGGGCGAGCCGGCCGGGGCGCCGAGGAGUGUGGUCGUGGAUGGCGGGGGAUGGCAGCGGGGAUGGAGCUCCGGUGCUUCCGUGACAGAGCGAGCCGAAGAGUUGUGGCGGUGCCGGCGACGACAAAACGGAAGGGCACGAUAGGGCUGCGUGUGCAUCAACCAACUAGACUGCCGACUCCUCCUUCCGCCCCUACACCACACAGGGCACACCCCUCACGAUCUAGGCCAAGGGAAAAACCUAGGACGAGACGGAGAUAUUGGGUGCGAGGGGAGCUCCAGAAAACGAUGGAGGUGUGCCCGUCCCGUCCCGUGGUCGACAGGGCAUGGCACUCCUGUCACGCGAAAAGGGAUUCAAAUUUGGAGUCCGGCUAUGUAGCUGCCUGGGCGGUCGGCACCGGCUCGACCUGCAACGAACUCCGGGUGCUCCUCGACGUCAUGGGCGCACCCCUUUUGCGCUUGCGCAUGUACAUGUCGCUGAGCCGCCCCUGCAUCUCAGCAUCAAGGACACUCAAAUGUCUCCAAUCGAUUAAGGAGCUCAUGGCAGAGGACCACAGUGAGGCUACAUCGUGGCUAUGGCUUCCAUCUCGGAAAUCAAAUCGCCAAAGGAUCAUAUUAUUUACGGCACCAUUACAGUCAUCUGAAUAUCGCAUUUGGCGAUGGAUUCACGAGAAACUCACCCAAACGCCUUCUUCAGUAGCUGCCUGGGCGGUCGGCGCCGGCUCGACCUGCAACGAACUCCGGGUGCUCCUCGACGUCAUGGGCGCACCCCUUUUGCGCUUGUGCAUGUACAUGUCGCUGAGCCGCCCCUGCAUCUCAACAUCAAGGACACUCAAAUGUCUCCAAUCGAUUAAGGAGCUCAUGGCGGAGGACCACAGUGAGGCUACAUCGUGGCUAUGGCUUCCAUCUCGUGUUGGAUAUAUAGCAAUGACUGCAUGGGUUUUCUGCUGGUACUACAAAGCUUUCAUGAAGAAAUUGUUUGACCAUCCCUUUAGCCUGAUAAAUUUUCUUGCUCAAGGGAUGGCCACCACUCCAAGGCACACUCCACAUGAUGAGUCAGGUGACACGAGCAACCAUCAGUUUGAAGGAGGAAGGGGAAAAUCGACGGCGCCUCCAAGGAGGAGACAGGCAUCCACGAACGUCGUCGACGGCGGCCUAACAAAAUUCUUUAAGGAGAGAAAUAAGACAUACAACAACGUUUACCAUUCGCUGCGGAGAACAAAGGCGACCAACUCCACACCCGGUUCGAAUAAGGACAACCAAACACAACAACACGGCUACGACACAAACAGCCUACCCAACACCAAGCCCCUUGCCGCGUCUCGACCGACACUGAAGACCUCUGAAGAACAGCAACUCCAGCUUCCUUGGAGUAGCCAACGACGACCGUACAUGGCGCCGAAGGAGAAAGAUCCGGGUAGUGGUGAACACCGUAGGAGCGCAUCAUGGGACCUCGAGUCUCCCAGCACAAUGCUCCCAACAAAGCCACGCCCUCUUCACCAAUGCCCGGGCCCCGAUCCUCCCCACCGCUCCGGCAAGACGCUCAUCAGCCCCCCCAAAGCUCGAGUCGGCGCCACCCCAACCAGGCACAGCGCACGCCAAGCAGCGGCCAACUCCAAGGUGCCAGUGGCGCAACGUGCCGCGCUCCUGCUUGUGAAGAAGCUGGGCCUGCUGGGGCCAAAGGAGGCCAUGACAACGCAGGUUGCCGAGGCGCUGAUCAAGCGCUUCGACGAACCCCUCUCUGACGAAGACAUCUCCAUCAUCGCCAAGCUCACCCGCCUCGAUCCGGAGGCGCUUCGCAUCGCCGGUGGCAUGGCUGGCCCGGACGGAGAUGCUGCAACUGCAACUUUAUAUGUAGUCUCCGUGCUAGGUCCUGUUGGCCCGCCUCGCGCCAGAGAUUCUUGGGGCCUGUUGGUGGUCUCUGGCCUGAAUUCACCAGCGAGAAGAACCGUUGUAAAAGAAUUAGCUGAAUCCCAUAGGACCAGUAUCCUUUGCCUGCAAGAGACAAAGCUCGAAGCCUGGUCUGCUGAAAUCGUCCGUGAGCUGGGUGGAUGCUCCCUAGACGGCUGUGCGGUCUUGCCGGCCAUGGGCACCCGUGGUGGCGCAACGAUCUUGUGGAAUAAGCAGUUGCUGGAACUUGUCACACACGCUGUUGGCGCCUUCUCCAUCACGGCCAGAGUCCAAGUGAUUCAGAGAAACUGCUCUUUCUGGCUGAGGACGGUGUAUGGCCCGGUCAACGACGCCCUCAAGGAUUCUUUCCUCGCUGAACUUCUCUGCACAUCUCCAAGUCUCCAAGAUCCCGGCCAGUCCCGAUCAGAUGCCUCGCACCGCCGUCACCGCAACAUCUUGCCAUCGAAGCCCCCCCUCACUGCCGAGGGGACACGCCUAAAGCCAUCACCUUCAACAUCAACUAGGAACCGCAGCAUCCACCGAGUGGUGCAAAGCCAGUUCCGACACGGUGGCCUUCACCCACGCCAGGGGAUUGCCACCAGAAUGGAUCCGACUCGCACCUCUGACCAUCCUCCAGCACCCACACCGCCGAGGCAUCGCCGCACGCCUCACACGGUAGCAACUGAAUGCCCGCUGCCCGCCAAGACCCUUCCUGGCAAGGCCUCGCAGCACCGCCGCUGUCAUGGUUGCGCUCGCACCGCCGCCACCGCUAGUGCCGAUGCACCACCUGCAUCAUCCAUCCUGCUACGUUCCAUGCAAGGAUCCAGCGAUAACCGCCGCCCCCCUGCCAUGAGCACCUCAAGGACGCCAGCCAGUGCCGAAAACGCACCAGAUCCGGCCCGAGAUCCUCGGAUCCGCACGGAUCGGCCCGCUCGAAACUGGCCAGGCACGAACUCCCCCGCGGCGAGGAGCACCAACCCGCAGCCGGCCUGCGCACUCCAUCGCGACGCGCCACCGCCAGACCGCCGCGACGCCCCGCACCACCUCCGGCCAGCGCGCAUCUCCGCCGCGUCGGCCACCGAGAUUCGACGCCAGGCUGAAGAAGUGAUUGCAAUGGGACCUUUUGUCCCUGUCGAGCUCCUCCUCCCGCCAGAUCCGCCAUGGACAAGGAGCUCGCAGCUUCGCCACUCGUCGCUGGCCCACGGAUGCUAUCGCCCAUGCACCGCCUGCGCGUUGCCCACUUGCCGCCGCCGCCGCCUACGCGCCGGCUAUCUUCGCUGCCUGGCCGCCUCCUGCCCAGACACAUACGCUACCCGCCCACUUGUCACAGAGCCCGUAUACGCCAUCCACCCAUGUGUCGGCCAUCUCCGCUGCGUGGUCGCCUCCCGCUAUGGGUUGAUGCUUCGAUUCAAGCUCUCCGACGAGGAGCCAUGGUGA